Gossypium arboreum is the source of this 145-nucleotide non-coding RNA. The record is from Rfam. NCBI's taxonomy places the organism in Eukaryota, Viridiplantae, Streptophyta, Magnoliopsida, Malvales, Malvaceae.
AGUUAAAAAUUUUAUCCAUUUCUACUAUUAAAAACGGAUUUAGUUGAUAAAAUAAUUAGAUAGUUACACAUAGCAUGCUUAAUGUACCUUAUACUAAUGUAUAGAGACUAAUUUUUAACAAUAAAAAUAGAUAAAAUUUUUAACA